ACUCCCGUAAUUUUUCUAUAUGUGCCGUGAAGGGUACAUACGAACAUAUAUAAGACUAUAUUACGCCACUUUUUUUAUUACAAACAACAAGACCAUACAUGCACAGCCAUUAUAGUUAUAAGAAACACAGAGGCCUACACAUGUGACCAUACCAUUGACCGUAUUUAUAAACAACGUCACACUCUUUUUUACUUCAUCUUUGGCGCUUUAGUUUACAUUUGGGGUGUUGAGCUCGUCCCAUGCUUCGGUCCAAGUGACCAUUCCAUCUGCAAACUUGAUGAAGUAAGGAUCCACUUUUCCAAGUUUCUGACGAGCUUAGCUAGCUCGAGGUAGCAUUGCUUCACCGAAGUGCAUUCUUUUGGUAGUGUCACUGAUUGGAAGAAAGGGCCAGAAUUGCAAAAUCCCCAAAACCCACCAUUGGAGAGAAUGAUUGUUCUUAUCGCCGGAUCUUGUUGACGACGGCGAGCUUGAUUCCGACGAUGAGCACGACCACGACGGUGGAGUUGGGCACGGCGGGGAGGAGACGGCUUGGACCAUAGAUCCCGUGGUGGAGAAUUGCGACAAGCUUGGAAUGGUGGUCACGGCUGCUUGACGACGCGGCGAGCCUGUUACAGUGCAACGGAGAAGGAGACCACGAGAUGAGAGCACGACACCGGGGCGAAGCUCGAACCCAACAGGCGAUGGAGAUUUGACGUCAUGGAUAAAGCUUGGUCGCGGAGAAGCUUCGCGGAAGGAUCCAGCCGCGGCCAUGAACUCGUCGCAGCAAUGCCCCAGGCCGCAAGCAACGUUUGCAGGCAAACGAUGACCGGGUUUCGCACGCGACCGUCGCAGGAAGAAGCUGACCGCGGCAAAGUAACGGCGAAACGAACCUUAACCGCAACCAUCCUUUGCGAGCAAGUCAUGACCGCGGCCGUGUGUCGUCGAAAGUGUCCAGUUGAUUUUGCGGUGUAUGAUCGCAUGAUGUAGUGGUCGCGGGUAAAGACCGCAGGCUGGAGACGGUUGCGGCCGAGACAUUAUAUUGCUUUGAUCCAUCAGACAUUAUACCGCAGGCUGGGUCAGCCCAAGAUUGUUGGGUUUAGACCUAAGGAAUGGAAUAUCUGGUUAUCUAUCAAAUCAAAAACCAUUUUGGAAUAAAAAUAAUCUUGUUUUA
Long non-coding RNA from Brassica napus (rape), 1150 nucleotides. RefSeq lists it as uncharacterized. The record is from RefSeq and is a predicted model, not a curated record. NCBI's taxonomy places the organism in Eukaryota, Viridiplantae, Streptophyta, Magnoliopsida, Brassicales, Brassicaceae. The transcript has 2 exons.